RNAcentral lists this ribosomal RNA (253 nucleotides) under uncultured bacterium. Its description in RNAcentral is "partial 16S ribosomal RNA". It matches the Rfam family "Bacterial small subunit ribosomal RNA", at positions 524 to 776 of the family's 1533-position model. The record is from RNAcentral.
UACGGAGGGUGCAAACGUUGCUCGGAAUCAUUGGGCGUAAAGCGCACGUAGGCGGCCUGAUAAGUCGGAUGUGAAAUCCCUCGGCUCAACCGAGGAAGUGCAUUCGAAACUGCCAGGCUUGAAUAUGGAAGAGGGUCGCGGAAUUCCCGGUGUAGAGGUGAAAUUCGUAGAUAUCGGGAGGAACACCAGUGGCGAAGGCGGCGACCUGGGCCAAUAUUGACGCUGAGGUGCGAAAGCGUGGGGAGCAAACAGG